GCUUACGGCCAUACCAGCCUGGGUACACCCGAUCUCGGAAGCUAAGCCGGGUCGGGCCUGGUUAGUACUUGGAUGGGAGACCCCAUGGGAAUACCAGGUGCUGUAAGCA
This 109-nucleotide ribosomal RNA is filed under the name Salmo salar (Atlantic salmon). The record is from RNAcentral. Lineage: Eukaryota; Metazoa; Chordata; Actinopteri; Salmoniformes; Salmonidae.